AACAACCUUCAUGUUGAAUAAUCCGGAAUUACAACUACAUGAGCGGAAGCUAACCUGAAUCCAUAUGUGUGGAAUUUUAUGAACCACCUUUGAUAAUUGUCCUUGCCAACUUAAAAUCCCGCAUAAAGUAAUAUAAAUAAAUCAUCGCCAUGUUAGGAUUAUGAUUCCUACUAAAGACAACAACCUUCAUGUUGAAUAAUCCGGAAUUACAACUACAUGAGCGGAAGCUAACCUGAAUCCA
Molecule: long non-coding RNA, 241 nt
Filed under: Nicotiana benthamiana
Lineage: Eukaryota; Viridiplantae; Streptophyta; Magnoliopsida; Solanales; Solanaceae
Description: long non-coding RNA (NBEN_LNC008100)
Source: RNAcentral